RNAcentral lists this ribosomal RNA (621 nucleotides) under uncultured Hyaloscyphaceae. RNAcentral describes it as "eukaryotic LSU rRNA". It matches the Rfam family "Eukaryotic large subunit ribosomal RNA", at positions 37 to 668 of the family's 3401-position model. The record is from RNAcentral. Lineage: Eukaryota; Fungi; Ascomycota; Leotiomycetes; Helotiales.
UGCAUAUCAUAAGCGGAGGAAAAAGAAACCAACGGGAUUACCUCCAGUAAACGGCGAGUGAAGCGGUAACAGCCUCAAAUUUGAAAUCUUGGCUCUUUUAGGGUCCGAGUUGUAAUUUGUAGAAGAUGCUUUGGGUGUGGCCCUGGUCUAAGUUCCUUGGAACAGGACGUCAUAGAGGGUGAGAAUCCCGUAUGUGACUAGGUGCUUUCGCCCGUGUAAAGCUCUUUCGACGAGUCGAGUUGUUUGGGAAUGCAGCUCAAAAUGGGUGGUAAAUUUCAUCUAAAGCUAAAUAUUGGCCAGAGACCGAUAGCGCACAAGUAGAGUGAUCGAAAGAUGAAAAGCACUUUGGAAAGAGAGUUAAACAGUACGUGAAAUUGUUGAAAGGGAAGCGCUUGCAACCAGACUUAGUUGCGGCCGAUCAUCUAGGGUUCUCCCUGGUGCACUCGGUCGUAUCUAGGCCAGCAUCGGUUUGGGUGGUGGGAUAAAGGCCUUGGGAAUGUAGCUUCUUUCGGGGAGUGUUUAUAGCCCUCGGUGCAAUGCCGCCUACCCGGACCGAGGACCGCGCUCCGGCUAGGAUGCUGGCGUAAUGGUUGUAAGCGACCCGUCUUGAAACACGGACCA